CAUUUGAGUGAGUGGCGAACUGGUGAGUAACACGUGGGAAACCUGCCCAGAAGCGGGGGAUAACACCUGGAAACAGAUGCUAAUACCGCAUAACAACUUGGACCGCAUGGUCCGAGUUUGAAAGAUGGCUUCGGCUAUCACUUUUGGAUGGUCCCGCGGCGUAUUAGCUAGAUGGUGAGGUAACGGCUCACCAUGGCAAUGAUACGUAGCCGACCUGAGAGGGUAAUCGGCCACAUUGGGACUGAGACACGGCCCAAACUCCUACGGGAGGCAGCAGUAGGGAAUCUUCCACAAUGGACGAAAGUCUGAUGGAGCAACGCCGCGUGAGUGAAGAAGGGUUUCGGCUCGUAAAACUCUGUUGUUAAAGAAGAACAUAUCUGAGAGUAACUGUUCAGGUAUUGACGGUAUUUAACCAGAAAGCCACGGCUAACUACGUGCCAGCAGCCGCGGUAAUACGUAGGUGGCAAGCGUUGUCCGGAUUUAUUGGGCGUAAAGCGAGCGCAGGCGGUUUUUUAAGUCUGAUGUGAAAGCCUUCGGCUCAACCGAAGAAGUGCAUCGGAAACUGGGAAACUUGAGUGCAGAAGAGGACAGUGGAACUCCAUGUGUAGCGGUGAAAUGCGUAGAUAUAUGGAAGAACACCAGUGGCGAAGGCGGCUGUCUGGUCUGUAACUGACGCUGAGGCUCGAAAGUAUGGGUAGCAAACAGGAUUAGAUACCCUGGUAGUCCAUACCGUAAACGAUGAAUGCUAAGUGUUGGAGGGUUUCCGCCCUUCAGUGCUGCAGCUAACGCAUUAAGCAUUCCGCCUGGGGAGUACGGCCGCAAGGCUGAAACUCAAAGGAAUUGACGGGGGCCCGCACAAGCGGUGGAGCAUGUGGUUUA
This 879-nucleotide ribosomal RNA is filed under the name Lactiplantibacillus paraplantarum. RNAcentral's name for it is "bacterial SSU rRNA". It matches the Rfam family "Bacterial small subunit ribosomal RNA", at positions 84 to 948 of the family's 1533-position model. Lineage: Bacteria; Bacillati; Bacillota; Bacilli; Lactobacillales; Lactobacillaceae. The record is from RNAcentral.